RNAcentral lists this ribosomal RNA (497 nucleotides) under uncultured bacterium. RNAcentral's name for it is "partial 16S ribosomal RNA". It matches the Rfam family "Bacterial small subunit ribosomal RNA", at positions 28 to 507 of the family's 1533-position model. The record is from RNAcentral.
GAUGAACGCUGGCGGCGUGCCUAAUACAUGCAAGUCGAGCGAACGGACGAGAAGCUUGCUUUUCUGAUGUUAGCGGCGGACGGGUGAGUAACACGUGGAUAACCUACCUAUAAGACUUGUAUAACUUCGGGAAACCGGAGCUAAUACCGGAUAAUAUUUUGAACCGCAUGGUUCAAAAGUGAAAGACGGUCUUGCUGUCACUUAUAGAUGGAUCCGCGCUGCAUUAGCUAGUUCGUAAGGUAACGGCUUACCAAGGCAACGAUGCAUAGCCGACCUGAGAGGGUGAUCGGCCACACUGGAACUGAGACACGGUCCAGACUCCUACGGGAGGCAGCAGUAGGGAAUCUUCCGCAAUGGGCGAAAGCCUGACGGAGCAACGCCGCGUGAGUGAUGAAGGUCUUCGGAUCGUAAAACUCUGUUAUUAGGGAAGAACAGAUGUGUAAGGAACUGUGCACAUAUUGACGGUACCUAAUCAGAAAGCCACGGCUAACUACGUG